CGUAGGGUGCGAGCGUUAAUCGGAAUUACUGGGCGUAAAGCGCGCGCAGGCGGUUUGUUAAGAUAGGCGUGAAAUCCCCGGGCUCAACCUGGGAACUGCGCUUAUGACUGGCAAGCUAGAGUACGGCAGAGGGGGUGGAAUUCCACGUGUAGCAGUGGAAUGCGUAGAGAUGUGGAGGAACACCAAUGGCGAAGGCAGCCCCCUGGGUCGAUACUGACGCUCAUGCACGAAAGCGUGGGUAGCAAACAGGAUUAGAUACCCUGGUAGUCCACGCCCUAAACGAUGUCAACUAGGUGUUGGGAGGGUAAAACCUUUUAGUACCGGAGCUAACGCGUGAAGUUGACCGCCUGGGGAGUACGGCCGCAAGGUUA
Molecule: ribosomal RNA, 371 nt
Filed under: uncultured organism
Description: bacterial SSU rRNA
Rfam family: Bacterial small subunit ribosomal RNA
Source: RNAcentral